AGAGAUUUAGUUUAAUAAUAAAUAUAAGGUUGUCAACUUUAAGAAGCCAGUGGCAAUCUCUU
This 62-nucleotide transfer RNA is filed under the name Artemia urmiana. Its description in RNAcentral is "tRNA-Asp". The record is from RNAcentral. Lineage: Eukaryota; Metazoa; Arthropoda; Branchiopoda; Anostraca; Artemiidae.